Molecule: long non-coding RNA, 470 nt
Filed under: Cucumis sativus (cucumber)
Lineage: Eukaryota; Viridiplantae; Streptophyta; Magnoliopsida; Cucurbitales; Cucurbitaceae
Description: long non-coding RNA (CSAT_LNC000113)
Source: RNAcentral
CUAGAAGUAACACUCCACUGUUUUUUUGACAUAGGGAUAACCUCAUGGUAUGCUUUGGCUUUUUUCCUAGAUAGUGAUAUAGUUGGUGACUCUAUAAGUUAUUUUCUUGUCUCUGUUAAAUGUGGAACUCGGGUCCCUAACAAUGCUUGGAAAUGCUAUUCUAGAUUCAGCAUUACUAAGUGGCAAGGACAUUUCUAAUGAGAACCUCAAGUGGAGUGUAUUAUUAAAGUCACUCCAUGUUUGAGGUUCUAAUUAUAGUAGUGGUUGUUAUUAUAACGUAAUUCCAAUUACUAUAACUUACAAUUAAGCACCGUAUUACUAUUUUAAAUUUUUCUUGAUCACAAUAUUUACUAUUUUCUACCUAUUCUCUCUUCGACUAAAAUAGUCUGCGGCCUGAACACAAACUGUUAUAACCUAACCAAAAUACUAUUAUAACUGAAGCAAUAUAAUAAUCAAUUGAGUGAUCCAUA